AUCGCUUCUCGGCCUUUUGGCUAAGAUCAAGUGUAAAUCUGUUCUUAUCAGUUUAAUAUCUGAUACGUCCCCUAUCUGGGGACCAUAUAUUAAUGGAUUUUUAGAACAGGGAGAUGGAAGAAGAGCUUGCUCUGUCCACUCCACGCAUCGACCUGGUAUUGCAGUACCUCCAGGACCGGUGCACCCCUC
Rana temporaria (common frog) is the source of this 189-nucleotide small nuclear RNA. RefSeq annotates it as U2 spliceosomal RNA. The transcript has a single exon. The record is from RefSeq and is a predicted model, not a curated record. NCBI's taxonomy places the organism in Eukaryota, Metazoa, Chordata, Amphibia, Anura, Ranidae.